Molecule: ribosomal RNA, 1375 nt
Filed under: uncultured bacterium
Lineage: Bacteria
Description: bacterial SSU rRNA
Rfam family: Bacterial small subunit ribosomal RNA
Source: RNAcentral
GACGAACGCUGGCGGCGUGCCUAAUACAUGCAAGUUGAACGAUGAUCUUCUCUGCUUGCCUACAAUUGGAUAUUACCGGAAUGAUGAGCAACACGUGGAGAACCUGCCCAUGAAGGGGGCAUUAUCCUUCGGAAUCGGAUGCUAAUACCGCAUAUUUGCUUUGGACCGCCUGCCCACAACACCAGAUAAUGAUUUUGCUGUCUCUCCUGGAUGGCCCCGCCCCGCAUUAGAUAAUUGGUGAGGUAAUGGCUCACCCCAGCUGUGAUACGAUCCCUACCUGACAUGGUGAUCUGACCCGCUGAGACUGAAAUGAGACCCAGACUCCUAUCGUACGGAACGCUACGGAAUCUUCUCUUGUGGGCUAAAGCCUGAUGUAACGCUGCCACGUGAAUGAAGAAAGUCUUCUGAUCGAAUCGUUCUGUUCUUACAUAAGAACAAGAUCAUGGAGUAACUGUCUUGACUUUGACCGUACCUAUCCAUAAAGUCACGGCUAACUACUUGCCAGCGGCCGAGCGUAAUACGUAGGUGACUGGCGUUGUCCGGAAUUAUUGGGCGUGAAGGGAGCGCAUGCGGUUGGAAUAGUCUGAUGUGAAAGGCCACGGCUUAACCUUGGAAUUGCUUUGAAAACUGUCAAACUUGAAUGCAGAAAAGGCAAGCGGAAUUCCAUGUGUAGCGGUGAAAUGCGUAGAUAUAAGGAGGAACACCAGUGGCGAAGGCGGCUUGCUGGUCUUCGAUUGACGCUGAGGCUCGAAAGCGUGGGGAGCGAACAGGAUUAGAUACCCUGGUAGUCCACGCCGUAAACGAUGAGUGCUAAGUGUCGGGGGGUCUCCGCCCCUCGCUGCCGGAGUCAAAGUAUUCAGCACUCCGCGUGGGGAGUACGGCCGCCAGGUUGUCACUCAGAGGAAUCGACGGGGACCCCCACCAGCGGUGCAGCAUGUGGUUUAAUUAGCAGCUACGAGAACAUCCUCACCACCUCUAGACAUAGUGUGUCCACUAGAGAGAUAGAGCUUCCCUUUGGGGCGCUGAAUCACAGGUGGCGCAGGGUUGUUCUCAGCUCGUGUCGUGAGAUGUGGGGAUAAGUCCCAUAGCGAGCGCACCCCUUAUUGUUAGUCCCCCGCAUUCAGGUGGGCACUCUAGCGAGACUGCCGGUGAUAAACCGGAGGAAGGUGGGGAUGACGUCAAAUCAUCAUGCCCCUUAUGUGCUGGGCUACACACGUGCUACAAUGGUCGGUACAGCGGGCAGCGACACCGCAAGGUCCAGCGAAUCUCACAAAGCCGAUCUCAGUUCGGAUUGCUGUCUGCAACUCGCGAGCAUGAAGCCGGAAUCGCUAGUAAUCGCGGAUCAGAAUGCCGCGGUGAAUACGUUCCCGGGUCU